GUGAGGAAUUUUCCGCAAUGGGCGAAAGCCUGACGGAGCAAUGCCGCGUGAAGGAUGAAGGCCUAUGGGUUGUAAACUUCUUUUCUCAGAAAAGAAUUAUGACGGUAUCUGAGGAAUAAGCAUCGGCUAACUCUGUGCCAGCAGCCGCGGUAAGACAGAGGAUGCAAGCGUUAUCCGCAAUGAUUGGGCGUAAAGCGUCUGUAGGUUGUUUAAAAAGUAUUCUGUCAAAGAUUAGGGCUUAACCCUAGAUAGGCAGAAUAAACUUUUAAGCUAGAGUUUGGUAGAGGCAGAGGGAAUUCCCGGUGGAGCGGUGAAAUGCGUAGAUAUCGGGAGGAACACCAAAGGCGAAGGCACUCUGCUGGGCCAAUACUAACACUGAGAGACGAAAGCGAGGGGAGCAAAUGGGAUUAGAAACCCUAGUAGUCC
RNAcentral lists this ribosomal RNA (426 nucleotides) under uncultured bacterium. Its description in RNAcentral is "partial 16S ribosomal RNA". It matches the Rfam family "Bacterial small subunit ribosomal RNA", at positions 354 to 796 of the family's 1533-position model. The record is from RNAcentral.